RNAcentral lists this long non-coding RNA (583 nucleotides) under Homo sapiens (human). Its description in RNAcentral is "non-protein coding lnc-PEG3-5:1". The record is from RNAcentral. Lineage: Eukaryota; Metazoa; Chordata; Mammalia; Primates; Hominidae.
GUGCAGAAGUCUGGGCAGCUGCGGGAGGAGAGGUUUGGGAGGCGCGGGAGAUGUCCACCCUGGGCUGGUGGCGCCGCCGGGCGCCGGGCGCCAUGAGGGUGCGCUAGGCGGCUGUUCGUGCCCGAGGCUGCGCAGCACUGAGGUGAGCUUUGCCUUCUUGAUCUUCCGUCCUUCUUGGAGACGACUGGCGAGAGGAAGAGGGACUAGGUCCAAACGCUAGGUGGCUGGGUCCAGAGAGAGGCAGGAGAAUGGAGCAAACAAGAAGAGAGACGAGACCACACACCACGCUGUCCCUGGGAGACGAAGAGAGUAACCUCCUCGGUUCCUGACUUUAAAGUUCUCAAUUCCAGCCCCCUUUUAAUGAGAUACCUGUGUUUUGACUCUGUUCCUGUGGAUAGCUGCUUGGUCUGAAGUUCCAGAAAGGAUCCUGUUCCCAGACAGCCGGAGACCCGCACCAAGGAGGAGAUCAUCGAGCUCUUGGUCCUUGAGCAGUACCUGACCAUCAUCCCUGAAAAGCUCAAGCCUUGGGUGCGAGCAAAAAAGCCGGAGAACUGUGAGAAGCUCGUCACUCUGCUGGAGAAUU